GCCUGGGUGGCUCAGUUGGUUGAGCAUCUGACUUCGGCUCGGGUCAUGGUCUCAGGGUUUGUGAGUUUGAGUCCCGCAUCGGGCU
This 85-nucleotide transfer RNA is filed under the name Felis catus (domestic cat). It matches the Rfam family "tRNA". From Rfam's summary of the family: Transfer RNA (tRNA) molecules are approximately 80 nucleotides in length. Their secondary structure includes four short double-helical elements and three loops (D, anti-codon, and T loops). Lineage: Eukaryota; Metazoa; Chordata; Mammalia; Carnivora; Felidae. The record is from Rfam by way of RNAcentral.